CACUGACGUCGCGACGCAUAUCAAUAAGCGGAGGAAAAGAAACUAACAAGGAUUCCCCUAGUAACGGCGAGUGAAGCGGGAAGAGCUCAAAUUUGAAAUCUUAAAGGGUUUCCCUUUACGAAUUGUAGUUUAAAGAAGUGUUUUUUGUUGGAGGUUUCGGUAAAAGUUCUUUGGAAUAGGACAUCAUAGAGGGUGAGAAUCCCGUAUUUGACCGUUACUUUCAAGCUGUGUGAUACACUUUCAAAGAGUCGGAUUGUUUGGGAAUGCAGUCCAAAAUGGGUGGUAAAUUUCAUCUAAAGCUAAAUAUUGGCGAGAGACCGAUAGCGAACAAGUACCGUGAGGGAAAGAUGAAAAGAACUUUGAAAAGAGAGUUAAACAGUACGUGAAAUUGUCAAAAGGGAAGCGUUUGACACCAGUGUUGUUUAGUCUGAAAAUCAAUUAAAUAACUGUUUGAUUCUAAGUUAGUAUUAGACUUUAUCAGCUAGCUGCUUUAGUUUUCAGGACUUUCUUGAAUGCACUUUUCAGUUAACAAGUCAACAUCAAUUUCUUUUGCUGUAAAAAGGCUUAGAGGAAGGUGGCUUACGAUUCGGCGUAAGUGUUUAUAGCCUCUUUACCUAUGCAAUCGGAGAGAUUGAGGUACAUGCAGCGUAGACUCCUUCGGGGCUAGAUACACUUUGUGCUAAGUUAUAGCAUUGUAUAGACAACUUGUUGACUAUGAUUCAGUCAUUGUAGCUUACUCGCUUAGUGUUAUUUUACCUACGCUUAGGAUGUUGAUGUGAUACUGCGAGCA
RNAcentral lists this ribosomal RNA (790 nucleotides) under uncultured Neocallimastigales. RNAcentral's name for it is "partial large subunit ribosomal RNA". It matches the Rfam family "Eukaryotic large subunit ribosomal RNA", at positions 26 to 629 of the family's 3401-position model. The record is from RNAcentral. Lineage: Eukaryota; Fungi; Neocallimastigomycota; Neocallimastigomycetes; Neocallimastigales.